AUGGUGUUGAGGCUGCAUUGGGUUUUCUUUGUUGCUCUUUUAAAAGGUAUCCAGUGUGAGGUACAGCUGGUGGAGUCUGGAGGAGGCUUAGCGCAGCCUGGAAAGUCCUUGAAACUCUCCUGUGCAGCUUCUGGAUUCACCUUCAGUGAUGCUGCCAUGACCUGGGUCUGCCAGGCUCCAGAAAAAGGGCUGGAGUGGGUUGCAAGCAUAAGUACUGAACCCUAUAAUUAUGCAACCUAUUACGCUGAUUCGGUGAAAGGCAGAUUCACCAUCUCCAGAGAUGAUUCCAAAAGCAUGGUCUACCUGCAAAUGAACAACCUGAGAACUGAGGACACGGUGACGAUUCUUCAGUGUGAACCCAGACAAAAACCUCCAUACCAGGUUUACAAAGCCAGCACGGGGCGCUCAGCACACAUGAAGCCUAUGUUUGGAG
This is a non-coding RNA of Mesocricetus auratus (golden hamster), 433 nucleotides long. Lineage: Eukaryota; Metazoa; Chordata; Mammalia; Rodentia; Cricetidae. The record is from the annotation of a RefSeq genome assembly.